UCUACGGGAGGCAGCAGUGAGGAAUAUUGGUCAAUGGUCGGGAGACUGAACCAGCCAAGCCGCGUGAGGGAUGAAGGUACAGAGUAUCGUAAACCUCUUUUGUCAGGGAACAAAGGCGGGGACGUGUCCCCGGAUGAGUGUACCUGAAGAAAAAGCAUCGGCUAACUCCGUGCCAGCAGCCGCGGUAAUACGGAGGAUGCGAGCGUUAUCCGGAUUUAUUGGGUUUAAAGGGUGCGCAGGCGGUCUGUUAAGUCAGCGGUAAAAGCCCGGGGCUCAACCCCGGCCCGCCGUUGAAACUGGCAGUCUCGAGUUGGAGAGAAGUAUGCGGAAUGCGCGGUGUAGCGGUGAAAUGCAUAGAUAUCGCGCAGAACUCCGAUUGCGAAGGCAGCAUGCCGGCUCCACACUGACGCUGAGGCACGAAAGCGUGGGUAUCGAACAGGAUUAGAUACCCUAGUAGUC
RNAcentral lists this ribosomal RNA (459 nucleotides) under uncultured bacterium. Its description in RNAcentral is "partial 16S ribosomal RNA". It matches the Rfam family "Bacterial small subunit ribosomal RNA", at positions 338 to 795 of the family's 1533-position model. The record is from RNAcentral.